Molecule: long non-coding RNA, 523 nt
Filed under: Bos taurus (domestic cattle)
Lineage: Eukaryota; Metazoa; Chordata; Mammalia; Artiodactyla; Bovidae
Description: long non-coding RNA NONBTAT018380
Source: RNAcentral
CAAAUAUGGGGAUUUUGAGGCAGACUUUGACAGAAAACUCUAGAAAAUGUGUGUUGAAACAUUCAUAGCCAAAUGAAUUAAGGCUCUUUCCUUCAGUUUUGGAACUAUGUGAUAAAAAUACUAUGUUUUCCUUUAGGUAUUAUUAGACCAUGGUUCUAGUAAGAGAAUAUCAUAAAUUAAUGACUCCCACUCUCUGGCCUAAUAACCUACACAAUUAUUAGGGAAGUUGCUUACAAGUAGUUUACCUUUACUGUCUGUAUUUUCUUUAUUCCUUUUACUUCAUCCCCAGCCUUUUCAUUUUCUUCUGGGCAGGAAAACCUGGAGAAAAGUUGCCUCCUUGUCCCUUUGACUUGGUGAUAGCCAGAAUGUGGCUAAGAUUCUGCUGAAUCGCUAAGAUCACUUGGGUGAUCUGAAAUGUAUCUGUAAAUUAACCAGAGCAUCUAUUAGAAAUGACCUAAUUCUUCUCUUUUUCAAAUGUAUAUGAUUAAUAACCAUAUUAUAUAUUUCAGCAUUAAAUAUAUGU